This 67-nucleotide transfer RNA is filed under the name bovine gut metagenome. The stretch from base 6 to 64 matches the Rfam family "tRNA", at positions 8 to 63 of the family's 71-position model. From Rfam's summary of the family: Transfer RNA (tRNA) molecules are approximately 80 nucleotides in length. Their secondary structure includes four short double-helical elements and three loops (D, anti-codon, and T loops). The record is from RNAcentral.
GCGGGUAGCUCAGUUGGUUAGAGCAUCUGACUUACAUUCAGGAGGUCUGGGGUUCGAGUCCCUAUUC